GGUUAACGCUGGCGGCGUGCCUAACACAUGCAAGUCGAACGGUUCUAAGCGCGAGCUUAGGAUAGUGGCGAACGGGUGAGUAAAAGGUAGGAAUCUACCCCUUGGACGGAGAUAGCUACUGGAAACGGUAGGUAAACUUCGAUAAGCCCGAGAGGGGAAAGUGGUGAGACAGCCGAGGGAUGAGCCUACUCUCCAUCAGGUAGUUGGUGAGAUAAAAGCUUACCAAGCCGAUGACGGAUAACCGGUGUGAGAGCAUGAACGGUCACAAGGGCACUGAGAGACGGGCCCUACUCCUACGGGAGGCAGCAGUGGGGAAUCUUGGACAAUGGGCGAAAGCCUGAUCCAGCGACGCCGCGUGGAGGAAGAAGUCCUUCGGGAUGUAAACUUCUGAACUAGCCGAAUAAAAGGACCUGUGGACACACAGGAGAAGAAAGUAAGGACUAGGAAAAGUCCCGGCUAACUACGUG
This 467-nucleotide ribosomal RNA is filed under the name uncultured bacterium. RNAcentral describes it as "bacterial SSU rRNA". It matches the Rfam family "Bacterial small subunit ribosomal RNA", at positions 28 to 507 of the family's 1533-position model. The record is from RNAcentral.